CAUAGGUUAAUGAGGCGAACCGGGGGAACUGAAACAUCUAAGUACCCCGAGGAAAAGAAAUCAACCGAGAUUCCCCCAGUAGCGGCGAGCGAACGGGGAGCAGCCCAGAGCCUGAAUCAGUGUGUGUGUUAGUGGAAGCGUCUGGAAAGGCGCGCGAUACAGGGUGACAGCCCCGUACACAAAAAUGCACAUGCUGUGAGCUCGAUGAGUAGGGCGGGACACGUGGUAUCCUGUCUGAAUAUGGGGGGACCAUCCUCCAAGGCUAAAUACUCCUGACUGACCGAUAGUGAACCAGUACCGUGAGGGAAAGGCGAAAAGAACCCCGGCGAGGGGAGUGAAAAAGAACCUGAAACCGUGUACGUACAAGCAGUGGGAGCACGCUUCGGCGUGUGACUGCGUACCUUUUGUAUAAUGGGUCAGCGACUUAUAUUCUGUAGCAAGGUUAACCGAAUAGGGGAGCCGAAGGGAAACCGAGUCUUAACUGGGCGUUAAGUUGCAGGGUAUAGACCCGAAACCCGGUGAUCUAGCCAUGGGCAGGUUGAAGGUUGGGUAACACUAACUGGAGGACCGAACCGACUAAUGUUGAAAAAUUAGCGGAUGACUUGUGGCUGGGGGUGAAAGGCCAAUCAAACCGGGAGAUAGCUGGUUCUCCCCGAAAGCUAUUUAGGUAGCGCCUCGUGAAUUCAUCUCCGGGGGUAGAGCACUGUUUCGGCAAGGGGGUCAUCCCGACUUACCAACCCGAUGCAAACUGCGAAUACCGGAGAAUGUUAUCACGGGAGACACACGGCGGGUGCUAACGUCCGUCGUGAAGAGGGAAACAACCCAGACCGCCAGCUAAGGUCCCAAAGUCAUGGUUAAGUGGGAAACGAUGUGGGAAGGCCCAGACAGCCAGGAUGUUGGCUUAGAAGCAGCCAUCAUUUAAAGAAAGCGUAAUAGCUCACUGGUCGAGUCGGCCUGCGCGGAAGAUGUAACGGGGCUAAACCAUGCACCGAAGCUGCGGCAGCGACGCUUAUGCGUUGUUGGGUAGGGGAGCGUUCUGUAAGC
RNAcentral lists this ribosomal RNA (1044 nucleotides) under Escherichia coli. RNAcentral describes it as "partial 23S ribosomal RNA". It matches the Rfam family "Bacterial large subunit ribosomal RNA", at positions 165 to 1248 of the family's 2925-position model. The record is from RNAcentral. Lineage: Bacteria; Pseudomonadati; Pseudomonadota; Gammaproteobacteria; Enterobacterales; Enterobacteriaceae.